UGCCCUCAUGGAGCUUACAUUCUAGCUGGGGGAGAUUAAUGUGAUCAUGCCAUGGAGUCAUAGACUCUCCGCAUUGGAAGGAA
Molecule: microRNA precursor, 83 nt
Filed under: Loxodonta africana (African savanna elephant)
Lineage: Eukaryota; Metazoa; Chordata; Mammalia; Proboscidea; Elephantidae
Description: miRNA (ENSLAFG00000024052.1)
Source: RNAcentral